AAAUGCGAUAAGUAAUGUGAAUUGCAGAAUUCAGUGAAUCAUCGAAUCUUUGAACGCACCUUGCGCUCCUUGGUAUUCCUUGGAGCAUGCCUGUUUGAGUAUCAUGGAAUCUUCAAAGUAAAUCUUUUGUUAACUCAAUUGGUUUCUACUUUGGUAUUGGAGGUCUUUGCAGCUUCACACCUGCUCCUCUUUGUUCAUUAGCUGGAUCUCAGUGUUAUGCUUGGUUCCACUCGGCGUGAUAAGUUAUCUAUCGCUGAGGACACUGUAAAAGGUGGCCAAGGUAAAUGCAGAUGAACCGCUUCUAAUAGUCCAUUGACUUGGACAAUACUUUUAUGAUCUGAUCUCAAAUCAGGUAGGACUACCCGCUGAACUUAAGC
This 377-nucleotide unclassified non-coding RNA is filed under the name plant metagenome. Its description in RNAcentral is "partial contains 5.8S ribosomal RNA, internal transcribed spacer 2, and large subunit ribosomal RNA". The stretch from base 1 to 104 matches the Rfam family "5.8S ribosomal RNA", at positions 51 to 154 of the family's 154-position model. The record is from RNAcentral.